RNAcentral lists this ribosomal RNA (471 nucleotides) under uncultured Streptococcus sp. RNAcentral describes it as "bacterial SSU rRNA". It matches the Rfam family "Bacterial small subunit ribosomal RNA", at positions 916 to 1381 of the family's 1533-position model. The record is from RNAcentral. Lineage: Bacteria; Bacillati; Bacillota; Bacilli; Lactobacillales; Streptococcaceae.
CGGACGGGGCCCGCACAAGCGGUGGAGCAUGUGGUUUAAUUCGACGCAACGCGAAGAACCUUACCAGGGCUUGACAUCCCCUGACCGCGUAUGAAAGUACGUUUUCACCUCGGGUGACAGGGAGACAGGUGGUGCAUGGUUGUCGUCAGCUCGUGUCGUGAGAUGUUGGGUUAAGUCCCGCAACGAGCGCAACCCCUACGUUUAGUUGCUAACGCGUGAAGGCGAGCACUCUAGACGAACUGCCGUUGACAAAACGGAGGAAGUGGGAUGACGUCAAAUCAUCAUGCCCCUUAUGUUCUGGGCUACACACGUGCUACAAUGGUUGGUACAACGAGUUGCGAGUCGGUGACGGCGAGCUAAUCUCUUAAAGCCAAUCUCAGUUCGGAUUGUAGGCUGCAACUCGCCUACAUGAAGUCGGAAUCGCUAGUAAUCGCGGAUCAGCACGCCGCGGUGAAUACGUUCCCGGGCCUU